Molecule: transfer RNA, 76 nt
Filed under: Sulfurimonas sp. MAG313
Lineage: Bacteria; Pseudomonadati; Campylobacterota; Epsilonproteobacteria; Campylobacterales; Sulfurimonadaceae
Description: tRNA-Val
Rfam family: tRNA
About the family: Transfer RNA (tRNA) molecules are approximately 80 nucleotides in length.
Source: RNAcentral
GGUUCUUUAACUCAGUUGGUAGAGUGCUUCCAUGACAUGGAAGAAGUCGACAGUUCAAGUCUGUCAAGAACCACCA